CGGUAAUUCCAGCUCCAAUAGCGUAUACUAAAGUUGUUGCAGUUAAAAAGCUCGUAGUUGGAUUUCUGCGGGGACGGAGCGGCCGGACGCAACUUGCGUCUCGAGCUAGCGCUUUCCCCGCAUCCUGCCGCGAACCGUGCUACCAUUAGUUUGGUGGCGCUGGGGAUCGGCUCGAUUACUUUGAGAAAAAUAGAGUGUUCAAAGCAGGCCACACGCCUUGAAUAAGUUAGCAUGGAAUAAUGACUAAGGACUUCGGUUCUAUUUUGUUGGUGUUCGGGACUGAAGUAAUGAUUGAUAGGGACAGUUGGGGCGGUCUGUAUUCCAAAGCGAGAGGUGAAAUUCUUAGACCUUCGGAAGACAAACAGCUGCGAAAGCGUUCCGCAAGGAUGUUCCCUUUGAUCAAGAACGAAAGUUGGGGGAUCGAAGACGAUCAGAUACCGUCGUAGUCUCAACUAUAAACUAUACCAGCUAGGGAUCGGCCAACGUUUAAUUAUUCGACUUGGUCGGCACCUUAUGAGAAAUCAAAGCAUCUGGGUUCCGGGGGGAGUAUGGUCGCAAGGCUGAAACUUAAAGGAAUCGACGGAAGGGCACCACCAGCCGUGGAGCCUGUGGCUUAAUUUGACUCAACACGGGAAAACUUACCAGGUCCAGACAUAGGAAGGAUUGACAGAUUGAUAGCUCCUUCUUGAUUCUGUGGGUGGUGGUGCAUGGCCGUUUUUAGUUGGUGGAGUGAUUUGUCUGCUUAAUUGCGUUAACGAACGAGACCCCAGCCUGCUAAAUAGCGCGGCCGAGCUUUGCUCGGUGCGAGCUUCUUAGAGGGACCAUGAUGCGCGAUAGCACAAGGAAGUUUGGGGCAACAACAGGUCUGUGAUGCCCUUAGAUGUUCUGGUCCGCACACGGGCUACACUGGCGCCUGCAACGAGCAUAUCAGCUGGCCCGAGAGGGUCUUGGCUAAUCUUUUGAACCGGCGCCGUGCUUGGGAUUGACCUUUGCAAUUGUUGGUCAUGCAACGAGGAAUGCCUUGUAAACGCGAGUCAUCAGCUCGCAUUGAAUACGUCCCUGCCCUUUGUACACACCGCCCGUCGCUCCUACCGAUGAAUGUUCCGAUGAAAUUUUCGGAGAGCGCCAGAGAACGGGGCUCUGCCUUGCAGAUCUGGAGGCUCAAAGUCACUUAAAUCUGAACAUUUCGAGGAAGGAGAAGUCGUAACAAGGUAACC
This 1217-nucleotide ribosomal RNA is filed under the name uncultured Rhizaria. RNAcentral describes it as "SSU rRNA". It matches the Rfam family "Eukaryotic small subunit ribosomal RNA", at positions 577 to 1804 of the family's 1831-position model. The record is from RNAcentral.